UACGGAGGGGGCUAGCGUUGUUCGGAAUUACUGGGCGUAAAGGGUGCGUAGGCGGCUUGCCAAGUCGGGCGUGAAAGCCCCGGGCUCAACCCGGGAUGUGCGUCCGAGACUGGUAGGCUUGAGUUCGGGAGAGGUGAGUGGAAUUCCCAGUGUAGAGGUGAAAUUCGUAGAUAUUGGGAAGAACACCGGUGGCGAAGGCGGCUCACUGGACCGACACUGACGCUGAGGCACGAAAGCGUGGGGAGCAAACAGG
This 253-nucleotide ribosomal RNA is filed under the name uncultured prokaryote. Its description in RNAcentral is "partial 16S ribosomal RNA". It matches the Rfam family "Bacterial small subunit ribosomal RNA", at positions 524 to 776 of the family's 1533-position model. The record is from RNAcentral.